This is a long non-coding RNA of Rosa rugosa (rugosa rose), 1594 nucleotides long. RefSeq lists it as uncharacterized. The record is from RefSeq and is a predicted model, not a curated record. Lineage: Eukaryota; Viridiplantae; Streptophyta; Magnoliopsida; Rosales; Rosaceae. The transcript is spliced from 3 exons.
CAAUAUUUGACUUCCGAUUUUUGGCGCUAUUGGUUGUUGAAGGUUCAUAUUCUUACUUGAGGAGAAAAAGUAAAUGCCUUGAGGUCUUCAACUCUGAACAUAUUAAUAAACUAGCUGAGGAUGACUGAGACGAUGGCUCAAACGCCCUUUCCUCAGGCUAGUGGAUUCACUUUCAUGCUUUCUUUGUUGUGUUUAACUAUCUCUUUUAAUUUUCUAGAGCUCGCUGCGCGUUUAGUAAUUUCGUCUUAUAAUUAUGUGUCUGUAGUAGUCUUAAACCUUUUAGGUGGAAUUUCUGGGUUUCAGAAUGUGGAACUUUGCCAGAGGAUAUGGAACUUACUAGACAAAUGAAUGAGUUGGGGCUUCCGGUCUCAUUUCAAACAAAUAAGGAGGUACAUUACCCUAUUUUCUUAUUUCAAUUGAAGUAUUAAGUACUGCUUUUUCAGCUUUCACAUUCACUACUACAAGCAGAGGUAGUAUUAAUCUGACUUGUUGAAGUUGAGACUCAUUUGCAGAAGCAGAAAACAGUAUCUCAAGGAAACAGAAAAGGAAUGGGCCUGAAGAUGAUGUACAGGCUUGUGAUUCCUUACAGGCUUACACAACAGUGCCAUGCUCACUGAUGUAACAACAAAUUUAGUGAAUUCAGCUGUGUUAGAUGAUGUACUUUACCCAGGCAGCUGCUGCUAAUGGCCAUGAUAAGCUCUCGUUUUCAUUUUGUAAAUUCAGAAUAAAUGCUGCCUUCAUUUUGUUGACUGUCAUUGUUUGGUAUAUUUUGAAUUGGAAUUUCAUUAGAUAAGAGCAAGCUCUUACCUAUUGGAACUGAUGAUACUUGCAUGUUAUAAUUUUUUGUGGAGAAAAAGGAAGGCUUGCUCUUGGGUUUAGUUUCAAAAUUCUGCAUUGUCAAUUUGUCAUGAUGCUCUUACAUCAUUGUGUUCUUUAAUAUUUCAGUGUGCUUCAAUAUGGAUCCCCUUUAAUAUUUCUGUUUGUCAUGAAUAGAUUAGUCAGAGGCUCGGCAAAAAACACCGCCUUUCAUAGGUUUUGUGAGGGUUGGCAUUUAAGCUCAGCUUUGUGUAAUCAGAUAUGGGAAAUCGUUGAAUUCCAGUUGUCAAGUAUUCGUUUCUGUUUCGGUGUGCCUGUGAGUAUUUUUCUGUGUUCUCCAUUUUCAGUUCAGUUUUGAGGUAUUGUUUUCAUGUGUGUGUGACUAAGAGGAUGACAUUGCUGUGAUGUUUGUAUAUAAAGGCAUCUCAUUUCUGUUUUGCGCAUUUUCAAAUAGGUCCAUUUUCCUGUGGGAAUCUUGAAGUAUGGAGAUGUUGAUGCAAGUACACUAACCAACUUAAACGCGGUUUUCUUUUAAUUUGAGUAUAAAUAUUAUACUCAUUUUUGUUUCAAGAAAAUGAGUAUAAUAAUUAUUAUAAGUAUCUUUGUUUCAAGAAAGAACUCAUUUUUUGUUGUUGUUAUCAUCUCAGUGGGCAUUGAUGGCUUAUUUAGAAAUUUCGAGAUUCUCAAGAAAACUGGGUUGAACAAAUGGUACCUAUAUUUUCAGUUCUAUUCUUAUUUCUUACUGACCUGUGAAACAGAAAUUUAUAUAUUACUACCC